AGUGGACAUAGGCCAGCUGAUUUAAUAAUUUAAGAAAGAAUUGUUAUCCUGAGUAAGGAGCAUAGAGACAAAUAUAAAAUGAACGCACUCUACCUGAUUUAAUUAUAAUCUUCUAGUGAAGAUCUUGCCUUUAUCUCUGUGAAUCAGCAGAGAAGAGAUCAAUAAAGACUAGAUGAGAUUGGAUUUGGUCAUUUCUCCAAGGUGAAGAGCAUGACGAUUUCUUCUGUGAAUGAAGACCAUGGCUGAUUUAAUCCGUCUCUUCUGAUGAAGAUCUUGGCUGUUACCUUUACGGAAUGGAUGCGCAAUGAUUCAAUUAUUCUCCAGCGAGGAAGAUCAUGGUUGUUGUCUGUUUGAGUAAUGAGUGUAGAAACCUAUAAUGAACAGCCCCAUCUGAUUUAAGCACUGUGCUAUGACCAUGAACUGUAUGGUUACCUCUAUGUGUCACAGGAAGACUCUUAAUGGAUGCACUGAGCUGACUUAAGCAUUCUUCUGUGAUCAAGAUUAAAUGUCCUUCUUAGGAAAGAGGCCAAUAAUGGAUGCACUUGAGCUGACCUAAGCAUUCAUGGUCAUGAGAUUCAUGGUUGCUACUGUUGGUUAGGAGCAUAGAGAUCAGUAAUGGACACAUCUGGGCUGGCAGAACAUCUGGCCUUGAUCUGGAGCCCCAUGUCUGUCGCUCUGUAGAGGUGCACAUGAGCCAAUAAUGGAUGCAGUGAGCUGAUCAUUUCUCUGUGAUCAAGGCUAUGUUGCCUCUGUGUUAGGCCAAUACGGGAUGCACUGGCGCUGAUUUAAGAAUUCUCUCAUAGUCAAAAGACAUAUGGUUGCCUCUGUGUAGGUUCCUGGAGACCAAUUGAGUUGAUGAAUUCAUCUAUCAAUAAAUGAAGACAUGAAUGAAGAAAAAGAGCUCCAAGUCUGGACCAAAGAUGAAGUUUGGUGAUGUAUGAAUCAUGAACAAUAAAUACCUGUGUCUGGAACUUUGAGGUCCAACAUGAAAACUAGUUUGCUCCCUAUGAUGUAACUGAUGUAUAUAUAUAAGAAAUAGCAAAGAUCUGAUUGUGUUUCAUAGCUAUUGAUUAUAUCUUCAUAAGUUGGUUAGUGUGCAAAUAACCAAAGAAAUGUAUGAAUACAUGAAGAAAAUGGAACCAAGUAUAGACUAAGUAUGUCUCCUAUAAAGUUGCUCUGAUUUAGAAACAAAAUUUUGGAUUUUACUACUUUUAUUAAGAUCGGCUAGGCAUUUCUCUUCUAGAUUUCUGAAAAUGAAAAUAUUACUCAUUUUCUUGAAAAAGAAUAGAUGGUUGGAAAAAUUAAUUCAUUUGUUCCUGAAUUAUAAACUCAUUUAUACUAAUAAUGAAUGAGUUAAUAGAUAAAAAGGUCAAGAACUGACCACUCAUGAGAAUGUGUUAUAAAGCCAGGAAUCAGAAGUAGCUGAUUCUGUAAGUCGAAGCUAACUUGCAGAGAAUACCAAGACGAUUAUAUGUGUGAGUGGAGGCACUGAGGCCAAUAUGUCCCAUAGUCAGAUGUUUUUCUUAAUGCAGGUGAUGGAUUCAAGAAUGUUCACUAUUUGAUGUAAAAUUAAUAACUGAAAUAAUUCAAUAAAUAAAAGGAGAGUGAAUCUAA
RNAcentral lists this long non-coding RNA (1614 nucleotides) under Macaca mulatta (Rhesus monkey). RNAcentral describes it as "lncRNA (ENSMMUG00000053357.1)". The stretch from base 911 to 984 matches the Rfam family "Small nucleolar RNA SNORD113/SNORD114 family". Lineage: Eukaryota; Metazoa; Chordata; Mammalia; Primates; Cercopithecidae. The record is from RNAcentral.